Molecule: long non-coding RNA, 914 nt
Filed under: Gopherus agassizii (Agassiz's desert tortoise)
Lineage: Eukaryota; Metazoa; Chordata; Testudines; Testudinidae
Description: lncRNA (ENSGAGG00000024808.1)
Source: RNAcentral
GCCCAGCUGGCUACAUGAACCCUGGACUCUUGGCAUUCUCUGUCCUCUGGAAAAACACAAUCCCCCCGCCCCCCUGUGCGCUGCAUGCUUUAGGCACAGGAAGUCAGAAUGGGCAGAGCCCUUUGUUAACCAAUCAGAAAUCAAGUAAACAGGUCUAUUCAUCACUGUCCAAUUGCUUAACCUGCAAUAAAAGAGCUCGCCCCAAAGCGGUGGGCGCGCCACUUGCUGCNCAUCUGCAAUAAAAGAGCUCGCCCCAAAGCGGUGGGCGCGCCACUUGCUGCAAGAGAAGCUCGUCUCUGCCUGGUUUCUUCCCGCAUCUGGCGACCCCGAGCUGAUCAGCUCCCUCUGCUCAUCGGCUGGAAUAGCCCUGGUGCACCGCAGCGCGUCUUUCCGGAAACUCGUCUGCGGGCCCCCCUGGAGCCCAGGAAUAAUCGAGGGGCCUCCUACUUCCUUUCCUCCCCCGGCAACAGCCGGCAGCGCAGAAACAUUUUCGCCAAGAAGAGGUGCUCCCCGCCCCCAAGGUGACAUAUCGCCAACUGCCUGGGGCCACCUGGAGCCCACCCGUACCAUUAAUAACUUGGGGGCGAGGAUACGCCGCUCUUAGCACACCUACUAGCCCCGUGUGGGUCCCCGCCCGUUACGCUCGGCCGUGGAAGGAGGGUGGCGUGGCAUCAGGGCCUGAAUUCAAUCGAUGGCUGGCGUCCACUCGAACCAUUACCCGGGCACAGGCUCGUGGUACGCCCAAUGCCCCAGUUACAUGGGGGCAGGUUAAGGCUUUGUCCCUGCAAGCGGAGAAAACGCUGGAGACUACUGGCCUGGAAAAGACUUCAGAAAACUUUGUGGUAGCCCUGCUCGCGUGUUUAAACUCUAAUUCCUGUGUAAUGUUGUUAAGUAUUUUACACUGUUGUGUCCUC